UAGGGAAUCUUCGGCAAUGGACGAAAGUCUGACCGAGCAACGCCGCGUGAGUGAAGAAGGUUUUCGGAUCGUAAAACUCUGUUGUUAGAGAAGAACAAGGACGUUAGUAACUGAACGUCCCCUGACGGUAUCUAACCAGAAAGCCACGGCUAACUACGUGCCAGCAGCCGCGGUAAUACGUAGGUGGCAAGCGUUGUCCGGAUUUAUUGGGCGUAAAGCGAGCGCAGGCGGUUUCUUAAGUCUGAUGUGAAAGCCCCCGGCUCAACCGGGGAGGGUCAUUGGAAACUGGGAGACUGGAGUGCAGAAGAGGAGAGUGGAAUUCCAUGUGUAGCGGUGAAAUGCGUAGAUAUAUGGAGGAACACCAGUGGCGAAGGCGGCGCUCUGGUCUGUAACUGACGCUGAGGCUCGAAAGCGUGGGGAGCAAACAGG
RNAcentral lists this ribosomal RNA (429 nucleotides) under Gemmatimonadota bacterium. RNAcentral describes it as "Gemmatimonadetes bacterium partial 16S ribosomal RNA". It matches the Rfam family "Bacterial small subunit ribosomal RNA", at positions 355 to 776 of the family's 1533-position model. The record is from RNAcentral. Lineage: Bacteria; Pseudomonadati; Gemmatimonadota.